UGUUUUCCGUAGGUGAACCUUGCGGAAGGAUCAUUCCCAGUCUUA
Molecule: ribosomal RNA, 45 nt
Filed under: Pollicipes pollicipes
Lineage: Eukaryota; Metazoa; Arthropoda; Thecostraca; Pollicipedomorpha; Pollicipedidae
Description: partial 18S ribosomal RNA
Source: RNAcentral